This 489-nucleotide ribosomal RNA is filed under the name Triticum aestivum (bread wheat). Its description in RNAcentral is "partial small subunit ribosomal RNA". The record is from RNAcentral. Lineage: Eukaryota; Viridiplantae; Streptophyta; Magnoliopsida; Poales; Poaceae.
AUGAGGUUGGAGAAGUGCUGGUUCUGCUCCUCCACCGUCUACCCCGGCCACGGUAUCCAGUUCGUCCGCAACGACGCCAAGAUCUUUCGGUUCUGCCGAUCAAAAUGCCACAAGAACUUCAAGAUGAAGAGGAACCCUCGCAAGGUUAAGUGGACCAAGGCGUACAGGCGCCUGCGUGGAAAGGACAUGACACAGGAUGCCACGUUUGAGUUCGAGAGGAAGAGGAACAGGCCGGAGCGCUACGACCGUAACGUCACUGAGCAGACUCUGAAGGCCAUCCCGCUUAUCACGAAGAUCAGACAUGAACGGCAGAAGAAACACAUUACAGAGAGACAGAAGGGUGGUAAGAGCAUGGUGCGAAAGAGUGACGCUAAGGAGCUGGAUCAGUUUAUCGACAUGGUUCCCAAGCAGGAAACCGAGAACUAUGUAGCCAAGCAGAAGGUUCUAGUUUCUCAGCUGAAGACCGAAGAGAAUCUUAUGGAAGAGUAA